CGGGGCGUAGCGCAGUCUGGUAGCGCACUUGCAUGGGGUGCAAGGAGUCGCAGGUUCAAAUCCUGUCGUCCCGACCA
This 77-nucleotide transfer RNA is filed under the name Coxiella endosymbiont of Amblyomma nuttalli. Its description in RNAcentral is "tRNA-Pro". It matches the Rfam family "tRNA". Rfam says of the family: Transfer RNA (tRNA) molecules are approximately 80 nucleotides in length. Their secondary structure includes four short double-helical elements and three loops (D, anti-codon, and T loops). Lineage: Bacteria; Pseudomonadati; Pseudomonadota; Gammaproteobacteria; Legionellales; Coxiellaceae. The record is from RNAcentral.